CAAACGAUGCCAAGUUGAGUUAGAAAUCUUCCGUCUUCCUUCCGGAGCACAGGCACGCCUGCUUCUCACCUCGCUCCAGCUCAUCACCAUCAUCAGCUACAACAUCUCAGCUACUCAGUGAACACAGGGUUGGCCACCCCGUGUUAAACAUUGAGCAACUAUUGCUGGGAACGUUGGAUGAACCAGAAUAACUUUACAUGAUGAAUCUGGAUGAUAUGCAACUUGAUACCAGAGCCUUUGCUAACAAGAAAGAAACUAAUAGACUCAGCCAUGCUGCAGUAAAGAACAGGAAUGAAAGAGAGAGAGAGAAAGAAAGAAGGCAUGUUGCUGUUAUUCCAAAAGACCAACACAGCUACCAAAUACAUCCCUGAAACAUGGAAGAUGCCAAAUUUUAGCCAAUUUUGGAUUUAAACUUCAUUGCUGAACAACAAGAAAGAUUUCUACACCUCCCUGCCUUUCUGUCAUCUGAUACCACCAGGGAAGGAAUCCUGCCUGAUCUGCACAGCAGAGAGCGACUCACAAAGACACUCUCGUAGACCCAGAGGAGUAGACUUCCACCUUCAGCUUCCUCUGUGCAAAGAAGUUUAUUUUCUACUUAUGGGGACUUUUUACCAUCUUUAAUUUUCCCUGAGCCUCAGGAAGGGUGCCUGUGUCCGAAAGCUUUCAGAAAAAGAUUUUUUUUUCGGUGAUUUCUUAGUUGGUCUAAUAAAAGGUAUCAUCUCUGAACUAAUAGUUCUAGAGUUUUGCAUUUCACACAGUGUUAAGAACUCUGAAAAAUCAGGUCUGAGGCACCUUAAAUAGUGGAUACUUGACCUUAAUCUUUUUCUAUCUUAGUUCUGCAUCUUAAAAUGGAGAUAAUGGCAUCACCUCACUCCAAAGAUUUGUUCUGCCUAUUAACUCUGAAUAUCAACUAUGAACUAUUCAAAUACUAUAGUGAUGAGUAUUUGGCACCAUAAACUAACCCAGAAGGUAACUGAUAAUUCUGUUUUCAUACCAAAGCACAUUAAAUAAAGCAUAGAGCUACACUGUGAACAAAGAAGAAAGAACAACGUAUUGUACCUUCCAUCAAGUGCACUGAGACAGCGAUCUUGUAAAAAACAUAUCAUGUUAAAAUGUAAUUAAAGAGUGCAUAGGAACAACAUGCACAAAAAGGGCAAAUGAAUGUGGCAAAGGCACAUUAAAUCUGACAUUUUCUACUUCUACGUGCUUGACUUUGUAACUUUACUAAUAGUUUAAACUCUGAUUUUUUUUUGUGUGGUUAAGGGAUAUUCUGCCAUCUUUCAGAAUUUUAAAAGAAUUAUAUAGAAUAAAGGUAUAAUAGUUUUUCCUAAAACAGAGAGCUGUGCACACGAGAAAGCAUGAUGAAGUAUUGUUAUUCUACCCACUUCACCGAAAGAGCAACAGAAUACCCAACUGCGGUGUCUUUGGACUACUGGGAAGUAGUUUUGCAAAAGUAAUAUCAUGUUACAUUUCAAAAAUUGAAAUUUAAAAAUACCCUACCAGGGACAUGAAUGUAACAUUUCAUUGUGUCCUGUGGAAAAAAUGUAAUUUCUCUAUUGAAAUGAUACAAAGUCCAAAGCUGAUGAUCUGGCUGGGAACACUAUCAGACUGGAAGCAGCUGGAGAAAUGGUAAUGUACUAGCAGCAUACAAGGAUGUUGUGGGAAUAGACAAGAGAUAAUCCAAAACUGACUUUCAACUCCAAAGAGAAAGUAGACAUCAGUCAGUAACCAUAAGUAAAUCGCACCUGGCACUGUAAGUGUUUUAAACGUCAGAAGUUAAACCUUAAAUUGUAUCCUGAUUCUUAAAGGAAGGCAGUAAAUUACUCACUGAACAAAUGGGUGACAUAAUCAAAAUGAGUAACACUGCUGAAUCCUGAACAGGCUGCAGAGUCUGAGCAUAGGAAAUUGGAGGACUAGUUAGGAGAUGUUGUUACGAAGUUACAAUUGGUGAAAAGCCAGGCACUACCACAGUCCUCCUACAGCUUGGCUCACCUAGUGAUUGCUGAACUGCCCAGCAUGCUGCCUGCUUUUACUUUCCUUCUUAAAA
Molecule: long non-coding RNA, 2047 nt
Organism: Alligator mississippiensis (American alligator)
Lineage: Eukaryota; Metazoa; Chordata; Crocodylia; Alligatoridae
Exons: 4
Source: RefSeq, a predicted model, not a curated record